This is a non-coding RNA of Phthorimaea operculella (potato tuberworm), 76 nucleotides long. Lineage: Eukaryota; Metazoa; Arthropoda; Insecta; Lepidoptera; Gelechiidae. The record is from the annotation of a GenBank genome assembly.
ACCGCUGUAGCCCAGAUGGUAGAGGCGUCGCCAGUACAAAUAGCGAAGGUAACUAGUUCAAAUCCAGCCUGCGAUU